RNAcentral lists this ribosomal RNA (254 nucleotides) under uncultured bacterium. RNAcentral's name for it is "partial 16S ribosomal RNA". It matches the Rfam family "Bacterial small subunit ribosomal RNA", at positions 524 to 776 of the family's 1533-position model. The record is from RNAcentral.
UACGUAGGGUGCAAGCGUUGUCCGGAAUUAUUGGGCGUAAAGAGCUCGUAGGCGGUUUGGUAAGUCUGGUGUGAAAUCUCCACGCUCAACGUGGAGGGGCCACCCGAUACUGCAAUGACUGGAGUCCGGUAGAGGAGUGUGGAAUUCCCGGUGUAGCGGUGAAAUGCGCAGAUAUCGGGAGGAACACCUGCGGCGAAGGCGGGUUGCUGGGCUGACACUGACGCUGAAGCGCGAAAGCUAGGGGAGCGAACGGG